CUGCUACCUAGCUUUACACUGUUUAUAUCCAACAUUUGACCGUCCAUCUUAUUUUAAAAAAAUUAUUAUUAACAUUUUUAUUGUUAUUAGAUGAUAAAAUAUGAAUAGUACUUUAUGUGUGACCAUUUUAUUUUUAUUUUUUUAUAAAUAUUUUAAAUAAGAAAGACGGUCAAACGUUGGACAACAAAACCCGUCGAUGGAGGUAGU
Non-coding RNA from Oryza glaberrima (African rice), 207 nucleotides. Lineage: Eukaryota; Viridiplantae; Streptophyta; Magnoliopsida; Poales; Poaceae. The record is from Rfam.